This is a non-coding RNA of Podarcis lilfordi (Lilford's wall lizard), 64 nucleotides long. Lineage: Eukaryota; Metazoa; Chordata; Lepidosauria; Squamata; Lacertidae. The record is from the annotation of a GenBank genome assembly.
GUAGCCUAGUCAGGUAGAGCACGAGACCCUUCAUCUCAGGGUUGUGGGUUUGAGCCCCGCGUCG